This 27-nucleotide non-coding RNA is filed under the name Rattus norvegicus (Norway rat). The record is from RNAcentral. Lineage: Eukaryota; Metazoa; Chordata; Mammalia; Rodentia; Muridae.
UAAAAAAUGAAAGACAGUCAUGGUAAC